Schizosaccharomyces pombe (fission yeast) is the source of this 1397-nucleotide non-coding RNA. The record is from the annotation of a GenBank genome assembly. NCBI's taxonomy places the organism in Eukaryota, Fungi, Ascomycota, Schizosaccharomycetes, Schizosaccharomycetales, Schizosaccharomycetaceae.
GUUAGUACAGUCGGUAACUUAGUAGAAAUACCAAAUAGAAACGCUUUAAAGGAGCAGCAGAUUAUAUAUAAACCGAGAAUGAUUACUAAUAGACUACACACUAAGCUAGUCUAGCAAUAUCUUUGUUGGGUACGAGCGUGAGUGUAUUUGAUGACUAUUUCACUGCGUGAAAAUUUAAGAAAAAUUGCUUUUGAAAAAUAUUAAUAAAUUAACUAUUCGGAACUAAAAUGUACAAUUAACGGUUUUAGAUAUUAUAAAGUUUCGAUAUCAAUAAUUGGUCAUAGGUACUAAAGCAACGAUGAACUAACUUAACAAUAAUUUCAGUAUCAUGAAUAGUUUUUCUUGGCUUUAGAUCUUGUGAUGCGUUCAUUAAAGGGAAGCGAAUUUUUGGUAUAUGGUUGCUUGGUGCCAUUUUUUUUAGUUACACUGUUUGGUAAAGCAUGAUUGCUUUGUCCUGUAACAUCUUCUGAAUGGAAGUUAUGCAUUCCGUUAGCACGUCCAGACAUCUUAGGAAUUUCAAUUGUCGAAAACUGAGCAACCUGAUUUUGGAACAUAGAAAUGGGAAAUUUCCCUAUUUUUUCAUUCAAAUCUAAACCCUCAAUAAAAUCAUGUAAGGACUUAAGAUUUCCCUGUGAAGGAAUAUCCAGUUGACUCAUUUCAAGCUCGUUUAAACCGGGCCAGUUAUCAUACUCAAGUCCGUUAAUACCGAGAGAGGGUACUUUGAGAUUCCCUCUUUCAUCAAGACUCAAACUUUCAAAGUAUAUUUUUGCCUUAAUAAAUAGUUUUUUCACUUCUCCUUCUGUUUUUUGUGCAAACUGAACCAUGGCAGUUAAUUGUUCCAUAUCAUCAAUACACUGUAUUACACCAUCAACAUCCCAAAUAGGCUCAAGUUUCUUUUCUAGAGAGCUAAUACUGCCGAUCUGAUAACUGAAUACUUGUCUUUUUAAUUCAACCCACCCAAUCCAUCCAUUAUCGAGCGGCAUAUUGAAAAGACCAUCGACAUCGAGAUCUAUAAUUUUAACAAGGGUAUCCUGUAAUAACCGUUGAGCAGGAAAAUAGUUUAAAUUCAAAAAUUUUUUUCUUAAGUUUGAUAAUUGACAUUUUAAUAAUUGCCGUUUAGCAGUAGAUUCUACAAGAGUAAGCAAUGAUUGAUAUUGAUCUUGUAGAGCCUUCGCUACUUCUAAAGACCUAACGCGAUCUUUAGAAGCCCUCACCGGGAGAUUUUCAAGACUAUCCAUAAGGAGUUGCGAUUUAAGCAAUGGCGCAUCCUUUCGGGAUCGGCGUUUCAUGUGAUAAAAUUUGCAGAUGUCAGUUACUAUGGAGGGCAGAUCUUGCCUUUUAACAUUAUAAGACAAUAAAACUUUGGUAACUUUAUCAACAAUAAAAGCCGGUAAUGG